Erigeron canadensis is the source of this 387-nucleotide long non-coding RNA. RefSeq lists it as uncharacterized. Lineage: Eukaryota; Viridiplantae; Streptophyta; Magnoliopsida; Asterales; Asteraceae. The transcript has 2 exons. The record is from RefSeq and is a predicted model, not a curated record.
GUGCAUAAUCGUUUUAGCUUUAUUUUCCAAGUUGCGGAGGAGGUAGUUCCGGAAGAGGGAACUAGGAUUGUUGAUUUGAAAGUGUUGAUUUAGAGCUUGAAGUGGUUGAAGUAAAGAUUUGCAAGAUUUGAAGGUAUUUAGGUCAUUCAUGGAUGAAUGACAAGCUUUUGGGUUUAGAGGCUUAGUUAUCCCUCUCCUUUUGGCUCUUGGUACAUUUUGGGUUGAUGGUCAUAUUUUGUUAUAUUAUGUAAAAGAUCAGGUGUAAAGCUUUUUAGAAAAGAUGUAAAGUUGCACUUUGGGCGAAAAUUGUGUCAAAAUGGGUAAGAUGACCCGUUUACUUGUAGAAACUUGGUUUGUAUAAAUGGAUGGUAUGGAGACUUUUGGAAA